Onychomys torridus (southern grasshopper mouse) is the source of this 2667-nucleotide long non-coding RNA. RefSeq lists it as uncharacterized. The transcript is spliced from 8 exons. The record is from RefSeq and is a predicted model, not a curated record. Lineage: Eukaryota; Metazoa; Chordata; Mammalia; Rodentia; Cricetidae.
ACGGUGGCCGAGAUGGCUGGGGCUGGAAGACGACCGCCCGAGCAGAGGAGAAGCGCCAAGGUCCCCCCGCGCAUCACCUCCAAGUCUCCGAGCUCCGCCCCAGCCGCCGCCCCGCGCGCUCGCACUCACCGGCCUUGGGGCUCCUCGGCCGACGCCAGCCUCGGCCCCACGGGCAGCCGCGUGGACAGCAGGUACAGCGCGAAGGUGCAGACGCCGAAUACCAGGAGCAGGCCGAGCAGCGCGCGCAUGCCGCGGCCGGGCCGGGGAGCGCGCUCCCCGCGUGGCAGCGCCGAGCCUUUCCCCGUGCGCCGGCUGGGCGGGCGGAGCGCGUUCAUCGACGGACGGAGGCGUGGUCUGCGCGGAGCCCCGCCCCCUCCAGGGACUGCUUGAGCUCGCUGGUCUGUGCGCUCCUGCCUUCUCCGCGCUGAGCUCCCCAGCACCGCCCCUUGAGUCAGAACUGGGAGAUCUAGGGGUGAGUUGUGAGCCUGCCACAGCCAGCUUGCAGCAUGGUGGUCAAACGGCCUGGUCCGUAGUCUGUCACACAAAGCAAAUGUAGCCAACAAAUGUGGAACUGGCGCUGAUGGUGACCACCACAGAAAGAAACAGACUUGCCUUCUACCCAGCACCUAAUGAGUGGGUGCUCACUAUCACCAAUCCUCAUAAACACAUUUCAGUAUGUGCCUUAACGGAUGAAAAACGGAUGUUAUAACUCUUGUCUAGGAGCUAGCACGGACAAACCUGUGACACACAUCCGAGUCUUAGAGUCUGUGAUGCUGGACGAGGUGGUCAUGUGAUUGAUUCAGCACUUGAGGAGCGGAAGGACGUUCUGGCAAGCGGCCCAAUCCUAUGGCUAGAUGGCCUUGGGCCUCUAGCAAGGUGGCUCAUGAUGAUGGGAGAGUACAAGGACCACAAAUGCUUAUUCAGGGAGCCAGGAAGCAAAGACAGGAAGACUGGGGUCCUGCAGUGCUCCUAGAGGUGAGUCCCCAAUGACCUGAGGAAUGCAGUUCUCCCUUCCUCAGUGUUCUGUUCGAUACCUCCCACGCAUCCACACUCAUCAGCCGAAGAAGGAAGCGUUCAAAGAGCAUGGAAGAGGCAACGUGUGCUAUGGCUGGACAUGAGGCCUGAGCAGAGUCCCUGAAGAGGGGACAUAGAGCAAAGCUCUGGAUGUGAGGAGCAGAGAGCUGAAGGAGCUGAGAGUGCACUCACAUUUAAUUGUGUCACUGAUCUGGGGUUCAGACAGACACACAGACAGAGACAAAAGAGGAAAGUUGAAGACAAGCAGUGGAUCCCAAAGCUCCUCCAUGCUAGGCAUGGCGGCCCACACCUGUAUCAUCCCAGCCCCAGAGAGACUGAGAUGGUGUGAGUGCCAGUGGAGUUCAGAGAUCUCGAGUAACCAUGUGCAGGGAUCGCGAUGCCUGCGUCAUAGGCUGGAGGACCUCAUGGCUGUGCUUGAAGUACAGAUCCUCCUGCCUGAUGUUAUAGCAGGUCUCCCGUUGAACAAAGGGCCCGCAGGGUCAAGACCUAAAAGACAAGGCAGAGCAGCUUGGCAGCCCCACUCCAUGAAUCACUGAAGCUGUCUUUGAUCCCUCCGGAGAGGAUGGCUCACAGGCUGCAGGGCGUGCUUGGGUGCUGGAGAAUGAAGCCAGGACCUCACGCACGCAAAGCAUGUGCUCAGCUACGCAGCUAGUCCCUGUGGGUGUCACUUUGAGGACAUCUCCUCUUCCCGUGUUCCACACACAUCUAAGAGACAGACAGCAUCUUUGCUUCGGUUUCCUAGUUUCUUCCCUCUCAAUGUCCUUGUGGUCCCUUGAAACAUUUCUUAGUCUCCCUCCCUCCUUCCCUUACUUCUCCACCCCCAGUCGUCUUCUGUCCUCUCCAACUGAAACUGGUGUGGGAGGGCAUGAGGAAACACCCAGUCACCCAAGGACAACAGGUGUCCUAAACACAACAGGUCUUAACACAGUAGGAAAAGACUCCAUAGCCUUGGAAAGAAUUUACCCAGAAUCCUCCCCACCACCGCCCCUUCAGUCAACACCAUCCACUUCCUUCACAAAAAAUAGAACUUCUAUCCUACAGGCCCCCUACGUUUAAAACCCUGGUGUGAGGAUGAUUCCUGGGAAAGGUGAAUGCUAAAUUCCUGCAAGCUGGGGCAACCCUCAGCCCUCCUGGCAGAAAAAGAGGAACCUUGACGGCAUCCUGCAAUGCUGACUCUACUGCUUUAAUACACAGAGGAGGAAACUGAAGCCCAGAGCUGAAGUCAUCUGGCCCAAGUACAGCAGGUGGGUAGUGUGAAGAGCAGGAUUGAAACCAACCUAACCCCAAACUUGUGUCUUUCGGUGUCUCCGUUCCUGACUCUGCUGGUCAUUGAGCAGGGACAUAUUUAGUAACUCCAGAUCGGGGAGGGGUGAUAAAGCAUUUUGAUGGAGUCACCAUCUCGGUGGAAGGAAAAGUGGGGGAGGGGAGAGCACACCCGAUGACAGGCUGGAUAGCUGGCUCUGAGCCACCCAAGUACUACCUGCUUGCUGAGGACCAUGUACAACUCAUCACCACCAGCCACAGUGGUCACUUCGUGGGAGUCUCUCUGAAUUGCUCUGACUUCAUGAAAUUGUUAUUGUUAGAAAAGGACAGCUCUGCUGGGUGGUGGAGCACGCCUUUAGUCCCAGCCCU